This 348-nucleotide unclassified non-coding RNA is filed under the name soil metagenome. RNAcentral describes it as "partial contains 5.8S ribosomal RNA, internal transcribed spacer 2, and large subunit ribosomal RNA". The stretch from base 1 to 120 matches the Rfam family "5.8S ribosomal RNA", at positions 35 to 154 of the family's 154-position model. The record is from RNAcentral.
GAUGAAGAACGUAGCGAAAUGCGAUAAGUAAUGUGAAUUGCAGAAUUCAGUGAAUCAUCGAAUCUUUGAACGCACAUUGCGCCCGCCAGUAUUCUGGCGGGCAUGCCUGUCUGAGCGUCAUUUCAACCCUCAUGCCCCUAGGGCGUGGUGUUGGGGAUCGGCCAAAGCCCGCGAGGGACGGCCGGCCCCUAAAUCUAGUGGCGGACCCGUCGUGGCCUCCUCUGCGAAGUAGUGAUAUUCCGCAUCGGAGAGCGAUGAGCCCCUGCCGUUAAACCCCCAACUUUCCAAGGUUGACCUCAGAUCAGGUAGGAAUACCCGCUGAACUUAAGCAUAUCAAUAAGCGGAGUA